AGGGGCGAGCCACCGGAUAGGCGGCCGGUCUCCAAAACCGGCGGAAAGUGGGUUCGACUCCUACCGCCCCUGC
This 73-nucleotide transfer RNA is filed under the name Actinomadura sp. RB99. RNAcentral describes it as "tRNA-Trp". It matches the Rfam family "tRNA". Rfam says of the family: Transfer RNA (tRNA) molecules are approximately 80 nucleotides in length. Their secondary structure includes four short double-helical elements and three loops (D, anti-codon, and T loops). Further hydrogen bonds mediate the characteristic L-shaped molecular structure. tRNAs have two regions of fundamental functional importance: the anti-codon, which is responsible for specific mRNA codon recognition, and the 3' end, to which the tRNAs corresponding amino acid is attached (by aminoacyl-tRNA synthetases). tRNAs cope with the degeneracy of the genetic code in two manners: having more than one tRNA (with a specific anti-codon) for a particular amino acid; and 'wobble' base-pairing, i.e. permitting non-standard base-pairing at the 3rd anti-codon position. Lineage: Bacteria; Bacillati; Actinomycetota; Actinomycetes; Streptosporangiales; Thermomonosporaceae. The record is from RNAcentral.